Molecule: unclassified non-coding RNA, 211 nt
Filed under: Hevea brasiliensis (rubber tree)
Lineage: Eukaryota; Viridiplantae; Streptophyta; Magnoliopsida; Malpighiales; Euphorbiaceae
Source: RNAcentral
AAGGCGCAGUUUGGAGUUGUUGCCUGGAUACCAAUGCUUUACGUGCUGCCACUGGUUCUGCUGAUUUUUCAGCGAAAGUAUGGGAUGCAUUAACUGGAGAUGUACUGCACUCAUUUGAGCACAAGCAUAUUGUUCGUGCCUGUUCUUUUUCAGAGGAUACACACCUUUUAUUGACUGGUGGUCUGGAGAAAGUACUACGGAUAUAUGAUUU